Molecule: ribosomal RNA, 468 nt
Filed under: uncultured bacterium
Lineage: Bacteria
Description: partial 16S ribosomal RNA
Rfam family: Bacterial small subunit ribosomal RNA
Source: RNAcentral
GACGAACGCUGGCGGCGUGCUUAACACAUGCAAGUCGAACGGAAAGGCCCUGCUUUUGUGGGGUGCUCGAGUGGCGAACGGGUGAGUAACACGUGAGUAACCUGCCCUUGACUUUGGGAUAACUUCAGGAAACUGGGGCUAAUACCGGAUAGGAGCUCCUGCUGCAUGGUGGGGGUUGGAAAGUUUCGGCGGUUGGGGAUGGACUCGCGGCUUAUCGGCUUGUUGGUGGGGUAGUGGCUUACCAAGGCUUUGACGGGUAGCCGGCCUGAGAGGGUGACCGGCCACAUUGGGACUGAGAUACGGCCCAGACUCCUACGGGAGGCAGCAGUGGGGAAUAUUGCACAAUGGGCGGAAGCCUGAUGCAGCAACGCCGCGGGCGGGAUGACGGCCUUCGGGUUGUAAACCGCUUUCGCCUGUGACGAAGCGUGAGUGACGGUAAUGGGUAAAGAAGCACCGGCUAACUACGUG